GAUGAGUUUCCUUCGGGAACGGAUUAGCGGCGGACGGGUGAGUAACACGUGGGUAACCUGCCUCAUAGAGUGGAAUAGCCUUCCGAAAGGAAGAUUAAUACCGCAUAAUGUUGAAAGAUGGCAUCAUCAUUCAACCAAAGGAGCAAUCCGCUAUGAGAUGGACCCGCGGCGCAUUAGCUAGUUGGUGGGGUAACGGCCUACCAAGGCGACGAUGCGUAGCCGACCUGAGAGGGUGAUCGGCCACAUUGGGACUGAGACACGGCCCAGACUCCUACGGGAGGCAGCAGUGGGGAAUAUUGCACAAUGGGGGAAACCCUGAUGCAGCAACGCCGCGUGAGUGAUGAAGGUUUUCGGAUCGUAAAGCUCUGUCUUUGGGGAAGAUAAUGACGGUACCCAAGGAGGAAGCCACGGCUAACUACGUGCCAGCAGCCGCGGUAAUACGUAGGUGGCGAGCGUUAUCCGGAUUUACUGGGCGUAAAGGGAGCGUAGGCGGAUGAUUAAGUGGGAUGUGAAAUACCCGGGCUCAACUUGGGUGCUGCAUUCCAAACUGGUUAUCUAGAGUGCAGGAGAGGAGAGUGGAAUUCCUAGUGUAGCGGUGAAAUGCGUAGAGAUUAGGAAGAACACCAGUGGCGAAGGCGACUCUCUGGACUGUAACUGACGCUGAGGCUCGAAAGCGUGGGGAGCAAACA
RNAcentral lists this ribosomal RNA (689 nucleotides) under Clostridium sp. HGFM127. Its description in RNAcentral is "bacterial SSU rRNA". It matches the Rfam family "Bacterial small subunit ribosomal RNA", at positions 68 to 774 of the family's 1533-position model. Lineage: Bacteria; Bacillati; Bacillota; Clostridia; Eubacteriales; Clostridiaceae. The record is from RNAcentral.